This is a transfer RNA of Rhodoplanes sp., 73 nucleotides long. It matches the Rfam family "tRNA". Rfam says of the family: Transfer RNA (tRNA) molecules are approximately 80 nucleotides in length. Their secondary structure includes four short double-helical elements and three loops (D, anti-codon, and T loops). The record is from Rfam. NCBI's taxonomy places the organism in Bacteria, Pseudomonadati, Pseudomonadota, Alphaproteobacteria, Hyphomicrobiales, Nitrobacteraceae.
GGGGCCAUAGCUCAGCUGGGAGAGCGCCUGCUUUGCAAGCAGGAGGUCGUCGGUUCGAUCCCGUCUGGCUCCA